Molecule: unclassified non-coding RNA, 334 nt
Filed under: soil metagenome
Description: partial contains 5.8S ribosomal RNA, internal transcribed spacer 2, and large subunit ribosomal RNA
Rfam family: 5.8S ribosomal RNA (bases 1-120)
Source: RNAcentral
GAUGAAGAACGUAGCGAAAUGCGAUAAGUAAUGUGAAUUGCAGAAUUCAGUGAAUCAUCGAAUCUUUGAACGCGCAUUGCGCCCCCCAGUAUUCUGGCGGGCAUGCCUGUUCGAGCGUCAUUUCAACCAUCAAGCCCUGCUUGUGUUGGGGUCCUGCGGCUGCCCGCAGGCCCUGAAAACCAGUGGCGGGCUCGCUAGUCACACCGAGCGCAGUAGCACAUCUCGCUCAGGGCGUGCGGCGGGCUCCAGCCGUUAAAGCACCCACCUUUCGCAAGGUUGACCUCGGAUCAGGUAGGAAUACCCGCUGAACUUAAGCAUAUCAAUAAGCGGAGGA